GAUAAUGUACCUUUUAGUUUUAAAAAUAUAAAUUUUGGAAAUUUAAGUUAUUCAUAAUUUUGAUUUACAAAAUCAAUAUUUUUG
This 84-nucleotide transfer RNA is filed under the name Metaperipatus inae. RNAcentral's name for it is "tRNA-Pro". The record is from RNAcentral. Lineage: Eukaryota; Metazoa; Onychophora; Udeonychophora; Euonychophora; Peripatopsidae.